UCAUCUCCCUUAAAUUAACUAAUGUAUCUCUCCUUAUAUACAAGUUAUCUUAGUUAGAUUACUGAACCAAAAAUAAGAAAAAUAUAGGAGCAGUCAUAAAAGGCCGAGAAAGAGAAGAUGAGAAAUAAGAAAGAAAUUAAAAAAAGAGGAGAAAGAGUCGUGAAAAGAGGAAGACAAGAGAAGAGAGGACAAGCCGUGAGUAAGAGAGUGAGAGAGAGGAGGAGAUUAAUGAUAAAGAAAAAAAAGCAGAGAGAGCACAUAAACAAGAGGAAGGAGAACAAGUGUCCGGAAAUCAGAAUGGAUGACGUUGCAGAGAAAGAAUAGAUCAUCACCAUCGCAAAGGAGAAUAUUGAGAAAGGUAUAUCUGUUUGAGGAAGUAAGGAAAAGAGGAAUA
Molecule: long non-coding RNA, 394 nt
Filed under: Eutrema salsugineum
Lineage: Eukaryota; Viridiplantae; Streptophyta; Magnoliopsida; Brassicales; Brassicaceae
Description: long non-coding RNA (ESAL_LNC001829)
Source: RNAcentral